GCAGGAAAAGAUGGAAAGAGGAGCAAACUAGCGGCUCCAUGGGAACAUUUAUUCCUCUUUGCUCUUUUAAUUGUUUUUUUUUUUUAAACUUUUUUUAUAAAAUUCUUUUUGAGAUUGGGUCUUACUGAUUUACUCUAUAGAUCAGUUGACCCUGAACUCACAAAGAUUCAUUUGCCUCUGGCUCCCAAGUGCUGGGAUUAAAAGUAUGUGCUACCCUGCCCAGCUUCUCUCUGCUUUAGAUUGGGGGUGUUUUCUGAUGGGCCAAUUGAUCCUGCCUUGAUUUCUCCUAAGUGAUGGGCUAUAGCCUGCAAUUGUAAGCCAGCAAAACUCUCUCUUCCCUUCAAUUGCUUUUGUUCAGAAUGUUUUAACAGAGCAACAGAAAUAAAGCUACAACAAAUGUAGGUUAACUGCAUUGCACUGGUAUUAUAAAGGUGCACACAGUGGAGGCAUAAUAGGACUAGAUCUCCUGCAGUCUCAUGCUGCUCAGGAGACAGUACUCAGCUUUGUAGCUGUGGGUCUCAGGCCCUCGUUCCAGUUCUACAGAAGAAUGAAGAGCCCUGCGAAGCUCUGCUCCUAUAGCAAAUGGCUGUUGAUAUCAUGGCUGGAAUUCAGAAACUGAAAGGAAGAAGUUUAAAUAUGUAUUAACUGUGAACCCAUAGCAUGCUAUUAUUAAUAAACUUUUUUAGAAAAAGUAAUUAUAAAUUUCCCCAAGAAAUGUUACUGAGAAUUGUUAGGUAGCUGGGGAGAACAGGAGUAAUUCAAUAGCUUUUCCAGGUAAUUGUGAAUCUUCUUUGCUCCUGUGUAGUGUGAAAUCUGAAACAAAUAUCAAUGACCUUUUUGUACUUUAUCACAUAAAAGCACAUUGAUCUAUCAUGUGUUUUAAGUGAGUCUUUAACCAAUUUGUAAUUUUGUUUCAUAAAUUGGUCAUCAGGAAAUACUCGCUCACUAAAGUAUUUGGACUCUUUGAACAUUGGCAUAUUUUAAUAUACUAUCCCUAAGAACACCAUACUGACCUCAUUAGAAAUAAGUAAGUGUUGGAGAAAUGUUUCACAGUUAAGAGCACUGGAUGCCACCCUAGAGGACCUGGGUUUGAUUCCCAGCACCCACAUAGCAGUUCACACCUGUUUGUACCACCAGAUCUAGGGGACCUGAUUCCUCUUCUGACCACUGGGCCUGCACACAUGUGGUGCACAUAUACUUCCGCACAUACCAUACACAUAAAUUAAAAAAAAAAAACCUAGAGAAACGAUGGGAAACUGUCAAGGUUAUAGUGUCGGACACAGGUUUUCCACAAUUCUAAUUCUCACUCACCAGAGAACUCAGUUUUUAUCAUUUGCAACAAAUAUUAUUACUUUUAGGAAGACCAUUGUAUUCAAUGUAUUAACCAUUGAAGUUGAAAGGUCAUAAUUUGACCAUUGGCUGUUCUUUCAAGUAAAAGCAAUCUUUAUGGAGAAAAAGGAGAUAAUAUUAAUCCAGCUUGCAAAUCAAAGAGCCAGAUGAGUGCUUUUCCUUGAGAUAGCGACCACAUUUUGGUUUUUAGCAAGAAUCUUUGCACACAUAGUACUCAUUUUACAACUAAGCUCAUAAAAAAAGACAUGUGCUUCUUUACUGUAACUAACCACUUUUCUGUUUAUCAAAGAUAAUAAAUAACAAUGGUCAUUUUAUUUUCUGUGCUAUGAACACAUGGCAUUGCAGUGGUGAGGGUAAAAAAACUCAGUAUUAUUAUGGUUUUUAUUGCAUAGAUCCUCAGAAAAAAAUUAGGGACACUGAGGGGGUCCACAGACCAUGAUUUGAAAACAGCUGAACUAGAGGAAUGAUUGACAGCUUCACCCUUGAGACGCUGGGACACACAGCUAGAGUAGAAUCUAACUAUAUCUGAUAUCCUGCCCCAUCUCAGUGCAGGUCUUGUCUUUUAUCAGAGGGAAGAGCAAGUCUGCUGUGGGAAAUGACAUCGACUGCAGCCCUGCAGUUACAUGUAGUACUCGACAUGUAAUCAAACAUUAUGAGAAAGGACUUUGCUUCCAGCCACAAGGGAGUAGCAGGAUCCGGAAUUGCCUUUUCUUAAUAAGCAGCUAGGAAACUGGACAGUGUUCAUGAAACAACUGUCUUCCUGUAUUGGACAAAAAGCAACACAGCACUGUCAUCCCACAGGGAAGGAAAACAGAAGACAUAGCUCUAUGCUUAUUUUGGCUUUCUGCCUAGAAGUAACCAUCAGAUUAUGAUGCAGGGAAGAGAAACCUUAACAGUACCCUGUUAGUGCAGUGUCCGUGGACAUUGCUGAGAGCUCUGGGAGGCCCUGAUGGGAAGAACAUACAGGGCAGAUAGAGGUCUAGAUAUCUGGGUAGUUACUUUAAGUCCUUCAUAUGGGUAGAGAGACGUUCUGCAGACUUUGGAAAUCCACACCUUUAGGUUAUAGCUAAAUUAGUUGUAAACAACAGCAUUAUAAAACUGAGUAUGUAAUUACAACGCUUGGGGGACCGGGCUGGAGGAAUGCAGUGAGUUUCAAGGCAACUAGGCUGGGACCUUAUCUU
This 2531-nucleotide long non-coding RNA is filed under the name Mus musculus (house mouse). RNAcentral's name for it is "long non-coding RNA chr10:43250397-43252928". Lineage: Eukaryota; Metazoa; Chordata; Mammalia; Rodentia; Muridae. The record is from RNAcentral.